RNAcentral lists this ribosomal RNA (484 nucleotides) under uncultured bacterium. RNAcentral describes it as "partial 16S ribosomal RNA". It matches the Rfam family "Bacterial small subunit ribosomal RNA", at positions 30 to 507 of the family's 1533-position model. The record is from RNAcentral.
AUUGAACGCUGGCGGGAUGCUUUACACAUGCAAGUCGAACGGCAGCGCGGACUUCGGUCUGGCGGCGAGUGGCGAACGGGUGAGUAAUGUAUCGGAACGUGCCCAGUAGCGGGGGAUAACUACGCGAAAGCGUAGCUAAUACCGCAUACGCCCUACGGGGGAAAGCAGGGGAUCGUGAGACCUUGCACUAUUGGAGCGGCCGAUAUCGGAUUAGCUAGUUGGUGAGGUAACGGCUCACCAAGGCGACGAUCCGUAGCUGGUUUGAGAGGACGACCAGCCACACUGGGACUGAGACACGGCCCAGACUCCUACGGGAGGCAGCAGUGGGGAAUUUUGGACAAUGGGGGCAACCCUGAUCCAGCCAUCCCGCGUGUGCGAUGAAGGCCUUCGGGUUGUAAAGCACUUUUGGCAGGAAAGAAACGUCGCGGGCUAAUACCCCGUGGAACUGACGGUACCUGCAGAAUAAGCACCGGCUAACUACGUG